GUCCACGCCGUAAACGAUGAGUGCUAGGUGCUAUGGGUAUUGACCCCCGUGGUGCCGUAGCUAACGCGUUAAGCACUCCGCCUGGGGAGUACGGCCGCAAGGCUAAAACUCAAAGGAAUUGACGGGGGCCCCGCACAAGCGGUGGAGCAUGUGGUUCAAUUCGACGCAACGCGCAGAACCUUACCUGGGUUAAAUCCACUCGAACCUUGUAGAGAUACAGGGGUGCUCUUCGGAGAGCGAGUGAGAAGGUGCUGCAUGGCUGUCGU
This 266-nucleotide ribosomal RNA is filed under the name uncultured bacterium. RNAcentral describes it as "partial 16S ribosomal RNA". It matches the Rfam family "Bacterial small subunit ribosomal RNA", at positions 793 to 1055 of the family's 1533-position model. The record is from RNAcentral.